UAGGGAAUCUUCGGCAAUGGGGGGAACCCUGACCGAGCAACGCCGCGUGAGUGAAGAAGGUUUUCGGAUCGUAAAGCUCUGUUGUUAAGGAAGAACGAGUGUGAGAAUGGAAAGUUCAUGCUGUGACGGUACUUAACCAGAAAGGGACGGCUAACUACGUGCCAGCAGCCGCGGUAAUACGUAGGUCCCGAGCGUUGUCCGGAUUUAUUGGGCGUAAAGCGAGCGCAGGCGGUUAGAAAAGUCUGAAGUUAAAGGCAGUGGCUCAACCAUUGUAGGCUUUGGAAACUGUUUAACUUGAGUGCAGAAGGGGAGAGUGGAAUUCCAUGUGUAGCGGUGAAAUGCGUAGAUAUAUGGAGGAACACCGGUGGCGAAGGCGACUCUCUGGUCUGUAACUGACGCUGAGGCUCGAAAGCGUGGGUAGCAAACAGG
RNAcentral lists this ribosomal RNA (429 nucleotides) under Bacteroidota bacterium. RNAcentral describes it as "Bacteroidetes bacterium partial 16S ribosomal RNA". It matches the Rfam family "Bacterial small subunit ribosomal RNA", at positions 355 to 776 of the family's 1533-position model. Lineage: Bacteria; Pseudomonadati; Bacteroidota. The record is from RNAcentral.